RNAcentral lists this transfer RNA (73 nucleotides) under Allobates masniger. RNAcentral describes it as "tRNA-Asn". It matches the Rfam family "tRNA". Rfam says of the family: Transfer RNA (tRNA) molecules are approximately 80 nucleotides in length. Their secondary structure includes four short double-helical elements and three loops (D, anti-codon, and T loops). Further hydrogen bonds mediate the characteristic L-shaped molecular structure. tRNAs have two regions of fundamental functional importance: the anti-codon, which is responsible for specific mRNA codon recognition, and the 3' end, to which the tRNAs corresponding amino acid is attached (by aminoacyl-tRNA synthetases). tRNAs cope with the degeneracy of the genetic code in two manners: having more than one tRNA (with a specific anti-codon) for a particular amino acid; and 'wobble' base-pairing, i.e. permitting non-standard base-pairing at the 3rd anti-codon position. Lineage: Eukaryota; Metazoa; Chordata; Amphibia; Anura; Aromobatidae. The record is from RNAcentral.
UAGAAAAAAGCUCGCUGGAUAGAGUUUUUAGCUGUUAAUUAAAAUUUUAUGGGAUCGAGGCCCAUUUUUCUAG